GAUGAACGCUGGCGGCGUGCCUAAUACAUGCAAGUCGAGCGAACAGACGAGGAGCUUGCUCCUCUGACGUUAGCGGCGGACGGGUGAGUAACACGUGGAUAACCUACCUAUAAGACUGGGAUAACUUCGGGAAACCGGAGCUAAUACCGGAUAAUAUAUUGAACCGCAUGGUUCAAUAGUGAAAGACGGUUUUGCUGUCACUUAUAGAUGGAUCCGCGCCGCAUUAGCUAGUUGGUAAGGUAACGGCUUACCAAGGCAACGAUGCGUAGCCGACCUGAGAGGGUGAUCGGCCACACUGGAGCUGAGACACGGUCCAGACUCCUACGGGAGGCAGCAGUAGGGAAUCUUCCGCAAAGGGCGAAAGCCUGACGGAGCAACGCCGCGUGAGUGAUGAAGGUCUUCGGAUCGUAAAACUCUGUUAUUAGGGAAGAACAAAUGUGUAAGUAACUAUGCACGUCUUGACGGUACCUAAUCAGAAAGCCACGGCUAGCUACGUG
RNAcentral lists this ribosomal RNA (497 nucleotides) under uncultured bacterium. Its description in RNAcentral is "partial 16S ribosomal RNA". It matches the Rfam family "Bacterial small subunit ribosomal RNA", at positions 28 to 507 of the family's 1533-position model. The record is from RNAcentral.